RNAcentral lists this ribosomal RNA (482 nucleotides) under uncultured bacterium. Its description in RNAcentral is "partial 16S ribosomal RNA". It matches the Rfam family "Bacterial small subunit ribosomal RNA", at positions 30 to 507 of the family's 1533-position model. The record is from RNAcentral.
AUUGAACGCUGGCGGCAUGCUUUACACAUGCAAGUCGAACGGAAACAGGACUUCGGAUGCUGACGAGUGGCGAACGGGUGCGUAAUACAACGGAACGUGCCUAGUAGUUGGGGAUAACUACUCGAAAGAGUAGCUAAUACCGCAUGAGAUAUACGGAAGAAAACAGGGGACCUCCGGGGCUAAUGCUACUAUAGCGGCUGAUGGCAGAUUAGGUAGUUGGUGGGGUAAAGGCUUACCAAGCCUGCGAUCUGUAGCUGGUCUGAGAGGAGGACCCGCCACACUGGGACUGAGACACGGCCCAGACUCCUACGGGAGGCAGCAGUGGGGAAUUUUGGACAAUGGGCGAAAGCCUGAUCCAGCAAUGCCGCGUGCAGGAUGAAGGCCCUCGGGUUGUAAACUUCUUUUGUACGGAACGAAAAGACUUGGACUAAUAUCCCCGGGUCAUGACGGUACCGUAAGAGUAAGCACCGGCUAACUACGUG